UAGGGAAUCUUCCGCAAUGGACGCAAGUCUGACGGAGCAACGCCGCGUGAGUGAAGAAGGAUUUCGGUUCGUAAAACUCUGUUGUUAGAGAAGAACAGCGCAUAGAGUAACUGUUAUGCGUGUGACGGUAUCUAACCAGAAAGCCACGGCUAACUACGUGCCAGCAGCCGCGGUAAUACGUAGGUGGCAAGCGUUGUCCGGAUUUAUUGGGCGUAAAGCGAGCGCAGGCGGUCAAUUAAGUCUGAUGUGAAAGCCCCCGGCUCAACCGGGGAGGGUCAUUGGAAACUGGUUGACUUGAGUGCAGAAGAGGAGAGUGGAAUUCAAUGUGUAGCGGUGAAAUUCGUAGAUAUAUGGAGGAACACCAGUGGCGAAGGCGACUCUCUGGUCUGUAACUGACGCUGAGGCUCGAAAGCGUGGGUAGCAAACAGG
RNAcentral lists this ribosomal RNA (429 nucleotides) under Bacteroidota bacterium. RNAcentral's name for it is "Bacteroidetes bacterium partial 16S ribosomal RNA". It matches the Rfam family "Bacterial small subunit ribosomal RNA", at positions 355 to 776 of the family's 1533-position model. The record is from RNAcentral. Lineage: Bacteria; Pseudomonadati; Bacteroidota.